Equus quagga is the source of this 2504-nucleotide long non-coding RNA. RefSeq lists it as uncharacterized. The record is from RefSeq and is a predicted model, not a curated record. The transcript is spliced from 5 exons. NCBI's taxonomy places the organism in Eukaryota, Metazoa, Chordata, Mammalia, Perissodactyla, Equidae.
ACGGCUGUGCCCUCGGGGAGCUUACGUGAAGUUAUAAACAAAUGCAAAUACAAUGUAAAGUCAAAAGAUGGCCGGUGUUUAAAAGGCGAGGGGCAUGGCGCUACGGAAGCCUAGAAUACAAUAUGGCCGGGUAGGGGGCGGUUUCCCAAUGGAAACAAUAUUUGAACUGAAGGCUGAAGAAUGAGUAGAUGAAAAGAGGAGGAAAGCUUUCAGGUAGAGAGAAACAGCAUCUGCGAAGACUCAGCGAAGAGGGACAGAAAUACUCGAGGGUGGGGAGGGGCGUUAAAAGGCAGGGCCAGGUCACGUGAGAGGUUUAAAAAAAUCUGAGCGUGGGUCACAUCCCCCGGUCACUCUUGCCUGCUUUUCCCUUCCACUUCCCUUACUAAAAUGUAAGCUCUAUUAGGCCGGAGGUUCAUUUGGUCUGUUAAUUUCUAAUGAACAGUGCCCUAAUGCAGUAGUUCAAAAAUUCUUUGUCGAAUGAACUUGAGUCUUAAGUCUGAUUGCAAUGGGAACGUGCUAAUAACAAAGCCUUUACAUAUUUAAGGGGGUCGCUUGGCUGUAUGGAAAAGAUAGAAGGAUGUAAGGAAAUAGGUAGGGAAACAAGCUGUUGGAAUUGCCCAUGCAAGGCAGGGCUGUAUUCUGUCCUGGGGUCACCUCGACAGAGACCUUUGUAGCCACUCUGUCCAAGGUAGCUACUGUUUUAGGAGAAGAGCAACAUGGUUUAAAGAGGGAUUAUGAUCCCCUUUUACAUAUGAGAAAUUGAGGCUCAUAGAGGUUGGUGAACCUGCUCAAGGUCCCCCACUGAGGAUCUAGUGACACUAGAAAUCUGAUAGUCCAAACACCUGGCAUUGUUGGGAAGGAUGGAGCUUCAAGUCCACCUCAGACCUGUGAGCCUAUGCUUUGAAAGGACAACCAAACAAGGCAUUUUAACAAAGAAUGAAAAUGAGAAGGUCACGUCACUGCUCAAGGUCACACAGCUGAUGAGUGAAAACUUCCUUAGGGACUGAACCAGCAAGUGGAAUCACCUUUGGGAGCAGCUACCCUGGUUUGCCUUGAUGUGUCAGCACCACGGAGAGCAGCUUAUCUCACACCCCCACCCUGUAAUACUUAAGUCACUCGAACCGUGGUGAAGAAACAGACUAGUUGUUUCUAAUGGUUUCUUCAUCCCAAAAACGCUGCUGGACUAGAUCCAUGAUUUCACACUGCCCUGCAAGGAGCCCUAUGAUGUCACAGUGAUGGCCCACAGGCUACUGUACGGUGCAAAGGGGAGGUCAGGUGGGCGUCCUGACUCCAACCAGAGCAGCUCCACUUUUCUCUCUCUCAUAAACUGGGCUUCAGUAUAAGACUGGAUUAGGAGAAAGGGUCUGUCUUUGGUUAUCUUUGUUGUUAGUUUUUUUUUUUUUUGACAUUUUCUGAUUUCUUUAAUCUUACAUGCUUAUUUCCGUUUAGUUUUCCCUUUUAAAAUGGGCAUUCUCUAAGGCCCUGUAGUUCCAGUGCCCAUGAAAGUGGAGGGCAGGGAAUGUUUCACAACAACCCUCUAAUUGUUCGGAGGGGAAGCUCAGACCUGGAGACAGAAGGGACUUUUCCAAAGUUACACAGCAAUUGAGUGAUCAAGUGAGGAACGGGAUGCAGGUCUCCUGACCCCCAGAAGAGAUUAUCUGUACGAAUGAAAUGGAGCUAUAGUAAAGAAAAGUGUUUUAAAAAAUAAAUCUUCAAAGAGCAAGGAGAAGUUGACUUUAUUCAGGUACCUGGGGAAGAAAGUUAAAGCAACGAAUAAAAGACUCUUGGAACAUGCUGUCCUGCAGGAAGCUGGCUUGCUCAUAAAGAUAAAUGAAUGGGAGCAGAAAUUAGUGUUGGAAGUGGAACAGAGCUCGCCACAGAGUUGUCUGGCAUGCUUGGUCAUUAUCGUGAAUGUGUCAAUCAGGCAGUUCCCCGAGCCCCUCUGGGGUGCUGGGCAGAGCUCAGGCUGGGACACACAGGGGAGCCGCGCCUUGCAGGGGACCUGCCUCAAGGGUAUUUGGAGGGGUUCAGUUCUCCACUUAUUAUGCCAGAUCAGAAACUAUAAAUUGCUAGCCUCUGGAACAGGCACAGCUUGAAGAUGAUAUAUGUAUAUCUCUUAACUCAGCGUUAAAAUUUUUAAUAGCUGCUAAUAUUAAAAAAUAUGUGGAUUUCACAUAAAGUCUAGAUUUCUGGUCUCUUUUGAAUAACUGGCAAAUCUGGGCUGGCAUUGCUGUGUGGGGGGCCAUCGGCUGGAGCUGAGUGGCAGCCACCCCUACAGUUGGGGCCUGAGCACUCCAGUUUCCUGCAUUACCCUAUCCCACCUCCUGUCGUUUGCCCUCUGAGGCCAGAUGCUAGCUGCCCUUUAUCACAGUGCUCGUGCUGUGAUUUUUCUUAUGGUAGAGUAUUUUCUUAUACCUUAUUUCACUCAUUUAUUUACCCACCUGACUCCUGGAGAAAUCUGAUUUUGAGACCCACCCCAUGGACUGUUGCCUCCCUUCCUCCUU